This 526-nucleotide ribosomal RNA is filed under the name uncultured beta proteobacterium. RNAcentral's name for it is "bacterial SSU rRNA". It matches the Rfam family "Bacterial small subunit ribosomal RNA", at positions 9 to 529 of the family's 1533-position model. Lineage: Bacteria; Pseudomonadati; Pseudomonadota; Betaproteobacteria. The record is from RNAcentral.
GAGUUUGAUCAUGGCUCAGAUUGAACGCUGGCGGCAUGCCUUACACAUGCAAGUCGAACGGCAGCACGGGUGCUUGCACCUGGUGGCGAGUGGCGAACGGGUGAGUAAUACAUCGGAACGUACCUUAUCGUGGGGGAUAACGCAGCGAAAGUUGCGCUAAUACCGCAUACGCCCUGAGGGGGAAAGCGGGGGACCGUAAGGCCUCGCGCGAUUAGAGCGGCCGAUGUCUGAUUAGCUUGUUGGUGAGGUAAAAGCUCACCAAGGCGAUGAUCAGUAGCUGGUCUGAGAGGACGAUCAGCCACACUGGGACUGAGACACGGCCCAGACUCCUACGGGAGGCAGCAGUGGGGAAUUUUGGACAAUGGGGGCAACCCUGAUCCAGCAAUGCCGCGUGAGUGAAGAAGGCCUUCGGGUUGUAAAGCUCUUUUGUCAGGGAAGAAACAGCAGCUCUAACACAGUCUGCGAAUGACGGUACCUGAAGAAUAAGCACCGGCUAACUACGUGCCAGCAGCCGCGGUAAUACGUA